This is a long non-coding RNA of Cynoglossus semilaevis (tongue sole), 792 nucleotides long. RefSeq lists it as uncharacterized. The transcript is spliced from 4 exons. The record is from RefSeq and is a predicted model, not a curated record. Lineage: Eukaryota; Metazoa; Chordata; Actinopteri; Pleuronectiformes; Cynoglossidae.
GGACAGACUGACCCUGGUCUCUUCCUGCUGUGAGACGGUCUGAUCGUGGCCACCUUUGGAUACAGCCCUGCCACGAUUACUGCUUUGAUCAACUUCUCAUUGUCUGGAGAUCAUGAGUCAGAGAUGAAGACGAGACAGAGAAGGAUGGCGAUAAGUGACAGCAUCUGAGGCAGAAAAGGAGGAAUGAGUGGACUGCACCGAGCUGAGGAGGAAAGAUGAGAAGGAGGGCUUAGGAGAGAAGAGCUGAGGAAAAGAGAUGAGAAGAGAAGAAGAGAUGAAGGAAUUAGAUGUAAAUGAAAAGAAGAGUGGAGAAAAGUCCUCAACAAAUAAUACAGAGAAAAUGUUCUAAAAAGGCUGCAGACAGAUUGAACGGAUUGACGGAUUGAACCAGCAAAACACCUCUGACGUCACACUCUCUGACGUUACCACUCCCUCUCUGUGAGCCUCGACCUGGUCUCACCUGGAGUGUGUUUGCAGACAGGAAGUUCUGCCAGCAAAACUCCCUCUCACUUCUGCCUCCAUGCUGUCUGGCUUCCUCCCAGCCCUGGAUCAGUGAGAGAAGGAGGAGAAGGAGGAGGUGAGAGCAGGUCCAGAUAAAAACAACAGAUUAGAAGAAGAAGGAAGCAGCUGUGACUGACCUGGAAAGCAUUGACGAUGGGGGAUGAAGAAUGGGUCUUUGAAGCUGAGGGACGCAGCCAUGGUGAGAACAGGGUCCAGGCAGCUGAGCAGAGCUCCAAACAGGAUCAGUUUACCAAUGUGAGGUUCCACAGGAAGACGGGCCAGGUGGAACCC